UCGUUAAGAAAGUGUGAGGCGAAGAUAAAUUGGAGUUAACUACUGUUAAGAAGAAAAAGAGAAUAAACAGAAAUUUUUUGCUUCUUUUGUGAAAGGAGGAAUUGGAUUUAUAAGGUAAUUCUUUUAUAUUAUUAUCUAUUAUUAAAUGUUACAAUCAAUUAUUUUGGGUUCUUGUGUUUGUCGGCACUGAAGCCAUUCUGAUGAUUAUUAUUAAUUUUCAUUCGAAUUCAUGUCAUAUAAGCCAUAAGCAUGUGCAUGUAUAUUAUAUGUGGUUGAUUUGGAAGUAAGAGAUAUUGAUUUAGAUAUAAUACUAUAAAUUAAUUUAGAAGUACAUUUGUGUGUCAGUUUUUGGGAGGGAGAGCAAUGAGAUUAUUAUUAUUAUAUAUAUAAGGUUUGUGCAUAUGAUCUGGGAAGGUAAUGUCUUCUUUUUAUUGGAACGGAUGGUAUUGAUAUGUAAGGUGUGCAUGGAUUAAACUUGCAAUCAACAUUUUGAAUAAGACUAUAUUGAGUAAUUGAUUCUUAAAAUAGUUGUUAUGGUAUUAUGUACAACUAAAAAAAAAUUUAAUUUAAAUUUAAAUUUGAAAUUUAUAGGAAAUAGUAGUAGUAAUAAUAAUAAAAUUAUAAUUAUAAUUAAUGAGUUUAAUUUAAGGUUUAAAAAAAAUAUAUUUUUUUAUAAAUGUACUUACAUUUAUCAUUAUUUUGUGUAACUAGCUCGAACGGAAGAAGUUUAACGAGUUAUAUUCAGAUUAUAAUUUUGGGUAUGACGUUGCUUAACUCAGGUACGGAUUCCGUACUCUUUCAGCGAUACUCUUGUUAAAUUUGAUUUGUUCGUUUUGUCGCUUGUUCGAAUUUCGUUAUUAUUUCACAUAAUUGUUUCCUGUGAAAUAAAUAAAUUAGUUUCAUUUUGGAGUUGAUAUAUAUGACUCGUAUUUGUACUCUUUGAAUUAGGUUAUCAUGUUUAGUACUAUUUAUUUUUGAUAAUCGACAUGUUGCUACCUUCUUUUUGAGACCUUGUGACUAUCAUUUGAUUUGGUUCAACAUGUACAUAUAGAACCCUUUUGUUUGUAUUAUGUCGCAUGUGUUGUGACAUAGUAUUUUUGUUAGAAUAUACCGUAGGGUAUACCUGUGCUAUAACCACCUGUGGGGGUACCACAUGCAUGUCGUCUUGACACGAGAGGCAUGACACAUUCCGUGACGGUGUAAUUAGUCCACGGCGUCUCCGUUUUGGGCUCCGGAGGAAGUGGGCCAUUUGGUGUUUUGUUGUGGGAGGCGUAUGGGUUAACCCUAGUUUUCUGUUUUGCGGAUUUGUGAUGUUGUGCCAAACACACAUAUCCGAUUUGCAUACAUUUGGAUUCGCGGUCCAAUGUGUGAUUUGCCUGUGUGACAUUAUUUUGACUUGCCUGUGUGGCAUUAUUUUGAUGUGCAUGUGUGGCAUUAUUUUGACUUGCUUGUGUGGCAUCAUUUGACUUGCCUGUGUGGCAUUAUUUUGACUUGCCUGUGUGGCAUUGUUUUGACUUGCCUAUGUGGCAAGGUAUACUUCUGAGCUCAAUCGGUAUGAAAUAACCCCAGCCAUUUGUUUCAGCCUAUUAUUUUAUUGUAUUAGUUUUGUUUGUUUUUGUUCAGUUCAAUUCAUUGAGUUAGUUAUUUCAGUUCGUUAUUUCUUUAUUCUUCUAUUGGUUUCGUCAAUUCUGUUGAUUCAUAUAUAUAUUCCAUUCAGAUCUUUGGAGAUUAUAUUUUCGUCCGUAUUUAUACUUGCGACUUUGUUCAGUAUUUUGUCUCAGUUAUUUUCGUAUAUCAGUUGUAUAUCUUUUGUAUAUCUGUAUUCGUACUGGGCAAUUGACUCAUGCUGUGUUUUUCUUCCGGCAGGUUUGUAGGGGUGAUUCAGGGCUAGUGUGAUGAGAGUAUUGCCUAUGACCAUCUAGGUUGAUUCGAAUUUUAAGUUUUGAUUAUUUUGACUCUGUUUGGAGAAUGGUAUUUAGUACUUCAUUGAUGAAUAUCAUUAUUAAUAUUGUGAAGUUAUUAGUGCUCUGUUUACUUAUUUUGAGGUUUGUUGUGCUUUACACGUGACCUCCCUUCCUUUUCGGGAAGGGGGUGUUACAGAGAUGGUAUCAGAGCUUAGGUUCUUUCUUGUAGAAAACCUAUUUAGGUUUGACCUGUGAGUUGCGGGUAAAUCACUGGGUAGACGUAUGAGUUUGAUUUGAUUUUGUUCUCUGUUUGGUUGGUCUUGAUUUUGACCAAGUGUUUUUAGCUCUUUGAGUUGUAGUUGAUUUGAGAAAGGCGAGAUAAUUUGUUAAGAAUAUUAUUGUUAUGAAUUGGAGCAAUGAUAUUAGUUAAGAAUUUUGAUUUACUCAUUGAGGUGAAUAAAGUUAUACUUUGUAUAGAUAAGGAAUGUUGAAAAAUUAUUUGUUAGAGUUGUUUUUUUUGUGACAAUUAUUAUGAUCGUUGAAUUGAGGAUUUUGAUUUGAGUUAUGUUUUGAUUUAUGUUAAGCUUGUGGAUAAUUUAAGGUUUGUGUAUUGAUGGCAUACUAUGAUAAAAUGAAAGUUAUUAAGUAUACAGGAUCUUUGGUAAAUUUGAGUUAUAGAGAUUCGAGGUAAUUAGAUUAAUCUUUAGGAGUAAAUGAAUUUUGUGAUUAUUUCCUAGUAGAAUAUUGGAGUUAUAUUAUAUGAAAUUUUGAGUGAUAGUAUGAGGAGAUCUUGGAAUUUGUUGGGUUAAGAUUUGCAUUAAGAGAAUGAUUGAUUCAUUGAAUGAUUAGAUAUACAAUAAGUGAUGAAUCUUUAAGAGAUUUUGAAAGCUAUAGCUUGGUUAUUCAAAUAGUAAGAUAUAUGAUUUGGAGUUUGGUAUGGUGAUGAAGAGAUCUUAGUAGUAAUAUAUUUUUGGUGUAAUAUUAUUUGAGAACUAAUUUGAUUCUAGGUUAUGAUAUUUUGAAACUCUUGAGGACUUAGUGAGAGUUGGUGAUAUAAUUUAAGUUGUUUUGUUUAUUUGAUGCCCUUAGAGCUUUGCAUGAAUUUAUGUGAAAUUAAAUAAAAAUAAUUUGUUAAAUCUUUGUCAUUUGUGGAGCAUAAACGUUUUACGAAUUAAAAAUAAUUUUAAAUAUUUUGGGUAUUUGAAUCGUAUUUGGAUGAAGAGAAAUUUUUGUGAUUUUGAAUUAUGUUCCGAAGAGUACGUUUACAAGAAUUAAACUCAAAGAUAUUAGCGACGACCCGCACCAACGAUGGAUCAUGUGAUCUAAUUUGAUGCAACGCGAAUAAACUUACCAAGGCUUGGCACGGUAGCUGACGAAUCUUUUACAAAUACAUUGAUAAUUACGUGGACCGAUGGCUUAUCCGCGUUGAUCGUUACAAAUGGCGGCGCUACGUCGUAACUAAUUAUUUUUUUUUGUAGCUUUUUUGAAUUCCGAGGACGAAAUUAUUUUUAAGGGGUGAAAAAUGUAAUAACCCAUUUUUUUUAAUAAUUAAAUAUUAAUUACUUUUAUUUUAUACAAUUGUAUUUAAAUUGGAAAAGGGUAAAUGAUUUUGUUUCCCUCUUUUCUUCCUUGUUUUUUUUUGGAAAAUUAAAUUCUUUUAGUAGAUAAUUAAAUAACUGAUUAAAUUAAAAUUGAGGAAGAUAAUUCAUUUUGUUAAAGUCUUGUGGUAAAAUCAUUCGGAGCGGGAAGCUACUUGAGAGAUAGAGGAGUCUAUUCGAGCGGAGUAUCCGCAUUUUUUGAUAAUUAGGUACGUUCAUUCUUUUGAUUCCGUGGACGGAAUCAUUUUUAAGGGGUAGGUGAUGUAAUACCUGGUAAAAAAAAUGAAUUGAUAAAUAUUGAAUAAUAAAAUUUUUUUUCUUUUAAAACAUAUUAUUGGACUUUGUUUUUUAUUAUUUGGGCCAAGUUGUGAUUAGGCUAGUUGGACUAAUAAUAACUAGUGGGUAAUAUUAAUUAAUGAGGUUUGGGCCUUAAUAAUAAUUGUAUACGGUUAAAAAAAAUAUAUAAUUAGAGAUAUUAAAUAUUAGGGUUAAGAUCACAUCUUGAAGACUAUUGUAUUUGGUUAAGAAAGUGUGAGGCGAAGAUAAAUUGGAGUUAACUACUGUUAAGAAGAAAAAGAGAAUAAACAGAAAUUUUUUGCUUCUUUUGUGAAAGGAGGAAUUAGAUUUAUAAGGUAAUUCUUUUAUAUUAUUAUCUAUUAUUAAAUGUUGCAAUCAAUUAUUUUGGGUUCUUGUGUUUGUCGGCACUGAAGCCAUUCUGAUGAUUAUUAUUAAUUUUCAUUCGAAUUCAUGUCAUAUAAGCCAUAAGCAUGUGCAUGUAUAUUAUAUAUGGUUGAUUUGGAAGUAAGAGAUAUAUAUAUAUAUAUAUAUAUAUAUAUAUAUAUAUAUAUAUAUGGCAGACUACAUAUAUAGAUAUAAUACUAUAAAUUAAUUUAGAAGUACAUUUGUGUGUCAGUUUUUGGGAGGGAGAGCAAUGAGAUUAUUAUUAUUAUAUACAUAAGGUUUGUGCAUAUGAUCUGGGAAGGUAAUGUCUUCUUUUUAUUGGAACGGAUGGUACUGAUAUGUAAGGUGUGCAUGGAUUAAACUUGCAAUCAACAUUUUGAAUAAGACUAUAUUGAGUAAUUGAUUCUUAAAUUAUGUACAACUAAAAAUUUUUUUUAAUUUAAAUUUGAAAUUUAUCGGAAAUAGUAGUAGUAAUAAUAAUAAAAUUAUAAUUAUAAUUAAUGAGUUUAAUUUAAGUUUUAAAAAAAAUAUUUUUUUUUACAAAUGUACUUACAUUUAUUAUUAUUUUGUGUAACUAGCUCGAACGGAAGAAGUUUAACGAGUUAUAUUCGGAUUAUAAUUUUGGGUAUGACGUUGCUUAACUCAGGUACGGAUUCCGUACUCUUUCAGCGAUACUCUUGUUAAAUUUGAUUUGUUCGUUUUGUUGCUUGUUCGAAUUUCGUUAUUAUUUCACAUAAUUGUUUACUGUGAAAUAAAUAAAUUAGUUUCAUUUUGGAGUUGAUAUAUAUGACUCAUGUUUGUACUCUUUGAAUUAGGUUAUCAUGUUUAGUACUAUUUAUUUUUGAUAAUUGUAGAGCGGUACAUGUUGCUACCUUCUUUUUGAGACCUUGUGACUAUAAUUUGAUUUGGUUCAACAUGUACAUAUAGAACCCUUUUGUUGGUAUUAUGUCGCAUGUGUUGUGACACAGUAUUUUUGUUAGAAUAUACCGUAGUGUAUAACUGAGCUAUAACCACCUGUGGGGGUACCACAUGCAUGUCGUCUUGGCACGAGAGGCAUGACACUUUUCGUGGCGGUGUGAUUAGUCCACGACGUCUCCGUUUUGGCCUCCGGAGGAAGUGGGCCAUUUGGUGUUUUGUUGUGGGAGGCGUAUGGGUUAACCCUGGUUUACUAUUCUGUGGAUUUGUGAUGUUGUGCCAAACACACAUAUCCGAUUUGCAUACAUUUGGAUUCGCGGUCCAAUGUGUGAUUUGCCUGUGUGACAUUAUUUUGACUUGCCUGUGUGGCAUUGUUUUGAUGUUCCUGUGUGGCAUUAUUUUGACUUGCAUGUGUGGCAUCAUUUGACUUGCCUGUGUGGCAUUAUUUUGACUUGCCUGUGUGGCAUUGUUUUGACUUGCCUAUGUGGCAAGGUAUACUUCUGAGAUCAAUCGGUAUGAAAUAACCCCAGCCAUUUGUUUCAGCUUAUUAUUUUAUUGUAUUAGUUUUGUUUGUUUCUGUUCAGUUCAAUUCAUUGAGUUAGUUACUUCAGUUCGUUAUUUCUUUAUUCUUCUAUUGGUUUCGUCAAUUCUGUUGAUUCAUAUAUAUAUUCCAUUCAGAUCUUUGGAGAUUAUAUUUUCGUCCGUAUUUAUACUUGAGGCUUUGUUCAGUAUUUUGUCUCAAUUAUUUUCGUAUAUCAGUUGUAUAUCUUUUGUAUAUCUGUAUCCGUACUGGACAAUUGGCUCAUGUUGUGUUUUUCUUCCGGCAGGUUUGCAGGGGUGAUUCAGGGCUAGUGUGAUGAGAGUAUUGCCUUUGACCAUCUAGGUUGAUUCAAAUUUUAAGUUUUGAUUAUUUUGACUCUGUUUGGAGAAUGAUAUUUAGUACUUCAUUGAUGGAUAUCAUUAUUAAUAUUUUGAAGUUAUUAGUGCUCUGUUUACUUAUUUUGAGGUUUGUUGUGCUUUGCACGUGACCUCCCUUCCUUUUCAGGAAGGGGGUGUUACAGUUGAACUCCUAAAAUAUAGUAGAUUUGAUCUAGGUAGAAAAAUGCUGAAAAACUCACCGGAAACUGUUUGGACCACAGGAGAAGAUGACAAAGAAAGUUGUCGUUGGCGAACUUUCCGAUAUAACCUUUUUUAGCCAUUUUCGACCGUAAUUUGGAAAUAUUUUGGAAUACAAUUUUGUAGAGAAUUAAAUUUAUGUGAAAUGGAUAGAAGAUUCGCAUUUUUCUGAUAAAAUGGCUAAUUAUUAUGAAUAUUUGAAGUUUCAUUAUAUUGGAAAUUAUAAAUAAAUUACUGAAAAUAAUUUUUGGGCUGAAAUAAAUAUAAUGUAGUCUUAUAAUAUUAUUUAUGAAUUACUAUAAAUUUUUGAAGAAUUAUUGGAAAUCAGAAGUAUUUAUUAUAUUUUUAAGCCAUUUAAAGUUGGUUUAAAAUGGUGGAAAUUCAUUGAAAAUUCUAUGAAUGAUAAAAAAUUGUGAAACUUCUAUAAUAUUAAUUCAUAAUUUCUGGAAAGUUUUUGAGAAUUAUUAAAGAGAAAAAGUAAUUAUUGAAUUUUUAAGUUAUUUAAUGUAGUUUAAAAAUUAGUGGAAAUUCAUAGAAAAUUCUAUGAAUGAUGAAAAAUUAUGAAACUUGGUUGAAAAUCCUAUAAUUUUAUUUCAAAAUUUCUGAAAAUAUUUGGAAAAUUAUUUAAGGGCAAAAGUAAUUAUUGAAUUUUUAAAUUAUUUAAAGUUUGUUUAAAAAUUAGUGAAAAUUCAUAGAAAAUUCUAUGAAUGGUGGAAAAUUAUGAAAAUUGCUAGAAAAUCUUAUAAUAAUAAUAAUAAUAAGGAGGAGUUAGCUUUUCUCAAUCUUUAGCUAGCUAAGAAGGAAAAUAAGAGCAUCAAAGGUAAGAAAUCCUAGAAACUCAUCUUCUUCAUUUUAUUUCUUUUAAAAGCUUUGUAGCAUGACAUGACGUGCUUUGUUAGUGGAUGUUGUUGUUUGAUAAUGAUCAUUGAAGGAUCUUGGAGAGAUAAGGCCCCUUGUGGUUUAGAUAUGUUAAAUCACUUGUUAACAUGUAUAAAAACUGAAAACGAUACCUAAAAUAGUAAGCCUAAGCGUAAAGGAGGGAAAAUAAAGUAGAAUACUUUAAUAUUGGACUUGUAAAGGUUUUGUUUGUUUAUUGUUUGUGAAAUUCAACAAUAAGGAUUUUUAGAUAAAUAAGUUCUGGAGAAGUUUCAAUUGGAACAGAGGAAAAAUACGGUAUAACGAAGUUAUGGCAAAAUAUUUCUUAAAAUGUGUCAAUCUUGAAAAAUCCUAGCUUAGUACCCUUUGUGGGCCAAGUGUAUGGGUAGUUAAUUUUUCUAGAAACUAUUUCUUUUAGAGAUAAUUGUAGUUGGGUGAAAACAUGAGCUGUGGGCUUAAGAACGAGCUUAAUCCGACUUCGGAUGAGCAAGUUACGAAGUUUAGAAAAUUUGACGUUAAAGCGCCAUUUCGGUGAAAAAGUGUCUCACGAGAGAGUUUUGAGCCAAUUUCCCGAAAAUUUAGAGAAUUGUGAAAAUUUUCCUGUCCGGGGGAUUUGAAGAAUUUGUUACAAGGAAGAAAUAGAAGCAAGAAUGAGCUCAUUCCGAUAUCGGACGAGUAAGUUAUGAUGUUUCAAAGUAGGCGUGUUGAAAUUGUCUGAAACCAAAAAUUUAUUAAAAUCAAACAUUUUGGCCAAUAAACUCCCUACCUCCCAUCGCCUUGAGCGCUGGUCUAGGCUUAUUUGGAGCUCCUAAAGAGCGGACCACUUUUUAGGCCAAAAAUCAAUCUGAACAUGCUUCACUAAAUCAGGCAUAACUUUUUCAUAUGAAAUUCGAUUGAAGUGAUUCAAGAUGAUAUGAAAAGAUAAGGAGCAGAUAUAAAAUUUUCAUUUAUUAAGUUUUGGGAUUUGAGGUCGGGAGCAAGGUCCAAAUUGGGCAUUUGUAGGGCUGUUAUGCAAUAGGAGGCAAACCAUGAUGGUUUCUUUGAACCAUUGUGGUGGCGAGCCAUGUUUGACUAGUAUUUUAGAGUUCUAAACAUUGGACAUUGGAAAUAUAGUCUAGAGAAAGGUAAACCAAGGAAUAGUAGAUGUAUUGGACGUAUUAAUUGUAUACAAUGGCGUGUCGAUUAAGCGUUCAGGGUAUAAAAGUCGAGCGUACGACGUACGAACAUCGAAACGCCUAUUCGAAUAUUAAUGAACUUAAAUAAUGCUCUGAGUUUAAUGAACCGAACAUUAUAAAACAUGGAAUAGGGUUAUAGUAAACCAUGAGUGACAUUUAUACUUGACUAAUUGAUAUGUCUAUGUGCACUAAAUGUGUAGGACUUUCAAAGGGCAAUUAACGUCAAGGUAUAGAAGACGUUUGCGGUAAGUUUCCUAAACUUGCUUAAAUUUUAUUGAACAAGUAAUCCAACUCCAUUCAACUUUCAUUUGAAUGUCAAUUUUUGAGUAUAUAUUCUUAUGAAUAAUCGUUAUGUACGCUUCGGUUUACACAAUAUUUAUCGAUUGUGCAACCUUCGAACUUAUACAAACUCUCUAUUAAUUGUAUAAGUGUUCAACUAUGCUAUAAUGCCUAAAUUGUUUAACGAUUUUCUAUAAUGCAUAAAUUGUUCAAGUUUUGUAUUAACACAAAUUGUUCAAGUUUUAAAGUUCUUAUAUUCAUGAACUAUUUAAGAGUUAUGUCAAUGACAAUUGUAUUGGCUAGACAAAUGUUAAAACGUUUUAUUGAUUUAAAUACCAUUCUUUGAAAUGUUUUUUGGAUUAGGUAGAGCUGUCCACCCAAAUUGUUUUGGGGUUCAGACUCCAGUCUAAGCUGAACAACCCUAAUAUUGAGGUUUUUUUUACAUCGGAAAAAUUCUGACAAACCCUUGAGGUGGUCUCAUAAACGCAUAUAGUCGUUUAGCCAGAGUGUUGUACAACAUAGGAAACAUUGAGCUGAUCACCCAACGUGCCUGUAAGCCAGACCGGUUCAUAAUUGAAUUAUUGUUGAACCAUUGAGAAAACAAAAAUGUUCGAGGUCUUUUGACCGCUUAGUACGUUGUUUCAAAAAUGUUAGAUAAAAAAGAAAUUUAUUGUUUUUAUUCUUAUUUAUUUGGAAUGCUUUCACAACUAUUAUUCAGUUGUAGCAAUAGUAACAUGAUUCUUGAUUUUGUUGUUUAUUCAACUGUUUAUACUUGUUAAGCUUUGUAGCUUAUCCUUGCUUUAAGUUAAAUAUUUUUCAACGAAACUAGAGCAGAUUGAAGGGUCCUGUAAGGACAAAGGGAAAGGAAAUGUGGACGAGUAGAAGAUAAUUAUAAAUAUCUGUAAUAAUUAGUAGUAUUGUAAUAACUACUUAAUACUUUAUCAUGUGUUGAAGACUUAAAGGUCUGAGAACCUGGGAUUUAGAGUGAGACAUAUUGUAAUAAUUAGAAGUUGCAUUUAUGUCAUUAUAUUAUUUUAGAUGAGAAGUAUUGUGGAGCAUCAUAUUCAAAGUUUAAAAUACUGGAAAAAAAAAAUAUCCCUUACCUCAGAAGAAGACUGGAUAUUGGAAUAGUGAAGUAGCAGACUUAUCUUCUUCUUUCUCUCUAUAGCUUCUCUCUCUAUAAUUGUUCUUGUAAGUCUUAGUGAAUUGGUGAGAAUGAAAAAAGAAUAUGCUUCUAUUUAUAGGAAAAUAUAGUUUCGAUAAUUGCACGUUUUGGGGCACGAAAUAUUACAGUAUAAUACACUCAUCUGUUCCUUCAUUUUUAAUUUAGUACUGCAAGUAUUAUUAAACGUGCACCACCUCCCCUAAUAGUACAUCAUGUGAAUCAAUAGUUCUAUACAUGUGAAAAAAAUAGUUACAGUAUAGUACCUUCAUCUAUACCUCCAUUUUUAAUUUAGUCAUGUAAGUAUUAUCAAUUUUGCGCUACCUCCCCUAAUAGUACAUGCAUGUGAAUCAAUAGUACACGCAUGUGAAUAAAUAGAUAUAAGCAUGUGAAUUAAUAGCAAUUAAUUUCUCAUUUAUCCGAUUAAUUACCCGAUAGGUCAAUAUAACCUCCAAACAUCAAUUAUUAUCGAAAUAGAUGUCGAUUUUCAUUAACACUAAUAAUCCUAACACAAUGAAAAUAUCAAUUUCAUCUUUAAUCAAUACGAACUUAUUCAUCAUUAAUAUUAUAACUCACAAUAUUUAACAACCAGAUCAUUCACAGGAAAGAUGGGGCUUUUCAAUAAGGAUUUUUCCCUAUUGGCGCGCAAUUAGGUGACCAAACCUCUCCUCGACAGAACUUUUUAGACAUUGUCAAUAUUGAAAAUAAUAAUAUGACUAACUUUGUCGUCUAACUUAUUAAUUUAAUAAUAAUAAAUAUUAUAAAGAUGAUACUGUGACAAUAAUUGAAUCAAUAAUAUUAGAGAUAUUAUGCAAUAAUUACUGUAGCAAUAAUUGAGUAUAAAUGAGUGACUUCUCACGUGAGCAUCAAUAAUCAAUACCUUGUGCUACUAUGCAACCACGCGUAUUACUGUACUUUUACCACCGGGUAGUUCAACAGUUUAACGGUAAAACUUUCGCCGUUAAUUUUAUAAAAAGAUAAAUCUGUCAUUUUCUAAUUACGACAAUACUUCUAUUGUGGGGUCCACCAAUGAUUGUGCCGUCGUACGAGCAAUCCCUGUUAAAACGAAUAUUUCCCAACCAACCGAUUAUUUUAUAACAACUUGCUUACUUUGCAAAAUUUAUAAAUAUUACCCACAACUAUAAUAAUAUAACAAAUCCACACCAUAACACCAUAAUAUUCAAAAAUAUAUUUCGAGAAAAAUUAAUCUUUAUUCAUAAAAGUUGGGGUCUUACAAUAUAGCUUCAGACGCUUUAUUGUAAGCUACUUCAGCUGACACUUCUUCCUUCAUAUCCUCUUCAAACUGAAGAUCCAUGCCUAGAUCACUCUCUAUUAGCACAACAGAUUUCAGCUCAGGUACUAGCUCAAGUGGAGAAAUUAGCUCCUUGUUCACUAUGGAAACAUUUUUCAUCUACAUUUAAAUAUAUUAUCUUUAUUAGUACAUAAUAAAAAAUCAUAUUUCAUAUAUCAAAUAACAAUUUAUUUUAUGUUAUCUUUACUUUUUCCUCAAUUUCUUUUGAUGAAUUCCUAUAAUUUAUCUCCUAAAAACUCGUCCUGAGUUUAUCUUCUUACUAUCUUCUCUAUUGCUCUAAUUCCUCCAAGGUUAUAGCCUAAAGUGUUCUCACCUAAGGUUUCUAACCUACAACUCUAAUACCAAUAUGUGACGCUCAUGGAUAUACCAUAACACCUCACAUGGACACCUAUUAGCUAGCCACCUACAACUUAUGGCGUCCUCUACAAAGAGUUUGGCUUUCGUGCCUCCCUUUCUAAGGACGUCACCAGCGAGAAGUUCGGGGCUCUUCACACUAACUUGUGCAUAUAGCUCUAAUACCAACCUGUGACGCCCCCAAAUCUGAGUUUAAGGAAUAAUAUUUUCUUCCAUACUCUGUAGUAUGUGAGUAAAUUAGUAGAAUAUUCUUGAAAUUUGCGCUUCAUCUAGUAUCAUUUCACAAGGAUAUUUUCUGCACGUUCUUGUUAAAUUUUAAGCUUUUCAUGCCGAAGUACUGUCCAUGAGUAGUAUUCAUUUAUACGUUACUAUUCACAAAGUACUAUUCACGGGGUACUAUUCAUGGGUACUAUUCAUAAAGUACUAUUCACAAGUACUAUUCACAAAGUACUAUUCAUGGGGUACUAUUCCUGAAGUACUAUUCAUAAAGUACUAUUCAUUUGGGUACUAUUCACCUGGGGAAUUAUUCAUGACAAAAAUUGAUUUUUUUCAGUCCAAAUCAUUUUUGAUACAAUAUUAUUCUUGAAUUUUACUCCACAAAGCAGUAUCAUGUUGACAAUUUGGACAUUAUGAAUUCUGGAUAAAUUAAAUUAUAAAUAUUUAAAAAUUUAUCAUUUGCUUUCUUUUAAUUGAAUUCUUAUAUCAUUGUCAUCAUCCUCAUGCUUAUAUUGUGAUAAAAGUCAUCUGUGGCUUAUGUGCAUAGAUGUACUAUUGAUUGGUAUGAUUGUGACCAUGGAUUAUUCAGUAUAAUCAUGACCGUAAUAUUACAAAUGAUGUGGUAAAAAUUAUCAUUGGCCUGUAGAGCAUUGAUGGACAGUUGUUGGUAUGAUUAUGACCAGGGAUUAUUCGGUAUAAUCAUAACCAUUGAUGAUUACAUGAAUAUCCUUGGCCCGUAAUGCAGGGAUGAUUCGAUGAUGUGGUUUAUUUAUUAAGCUGAGUCUCAGCGAUAAAGUUGAUGAAAAACCUUUUUAAAUCAUAGAAGAUAGUAGAUAUCAUGUUACUUGACUCUUCUAAUGGAUUUCUUGUUCCGCUGCAGUUAAACUUGAUGUUUAUUGUAUUUUAUCAGUUUAAUACUAUUGAAGGCUAACGAUAAUUUAUUCUGCAUUAUCUUAGUCAUAAUAUUUCUUACUGGGCUAGUUGAGCUCACCCUUUUGCUUUCAUUGUUCUCUUCAGGAAAUGAGAACAUAGCCGGUACUAGUCGGGGAACAGAGUGACGGUCCGAGAUGGUGGCUAUAGUAGUCCUCACUAUUUUAUAAAAUAGUGUGGUAAUAAAUGUAAUGAGGACUUCAUUUGAGUUUGAAUACUGUCUAUGAGACAAUAUUCGUGUAAAAACUCUAAGCUACACUGUUGUCGUAUUUUAUAAAAAAAAGUUUGUAUUUGAUUUAUGUACCAUAUAUUUGGCGACUCAGAAUGGGUGAUGUAUACCUAUUUUGGGGGAGUCAUAUGUAUGUUCUGAGAAGUUAUUUGGAGAUGAACCUAUGGUGAACUUAAGAAGUGAACAUGAAAGUAUCCAGAAAUGGAACUCAAUGAUGAAAUGGAAGUAAAUUCCAAGGAUACUAAUAUAGAGCAAGAAGUAGAGUCAGUAAAUGAAAAAAGGAAAAGUGCAGCAAAAGUUGUGAAUGAUCAACUAAUGAAAGAAGUAAAAGAUCUGAAGCAUAGGGUGUUUUUCUUGGAAGAAAUGUGGGAAAGGAAAAGAUUAUUGAAUAAUCAAUUGGAGAAGGCGUUAAGUGAGAUGACGGAAGAGCAUGGUGAGUUGAAUGUGAGGAUUAACGAAAUGGGAGUUAAAAGCAAUAUAACUGUUGAAGCUCAGAAUAAGAAGAGAAAAGAGAAUUGGAUUGAUAGAUAGGAAAACCAUAAGAAAAUGGUAAAUGAAUGUAAAAAUUAAGGUAGAAACCACAUUGGUGUAUGCUUGAAAGGACAGAAAGUAUGUUUUAAUUGCGGGCAAAAAGAUCAUUUUUCUCCCAACUGCCCCAACCUGAGGAAAAUAGCUUGUCUCAACUGUGGAUCAUUUGAGCAUAUAGUUAAGAAAUGUUCGAUAAAAGAACAAGUAUAAAAUGAUGUAUAAACAUAUGAAUGUUAGAGUGUUCAUGUGUUAUGUGAAUUCCAGCUUGUAAUAUAAAUAACGAGAUAUCUUUUGUAAGUCUUAACUGAUAUAUAAGUUGAGGACUCGGAUAUGUUAAUCUCAUCUUUUGUAUUAAAUAGAUAGAUGAAAUUGUAAUUAGCCAGAAGGCUAAGAAGAAAGAAGUAUAUAAGAAAGAAAGUAGUAAGAGAACAGAAGUAAGUAAAGAAAAGUAUGUAUGUUGAAGCAUAUUAAUAAAGGAUAUUUAUUAAAUAUGCUUGUGAUGAAUGUGUUAACAUUGAAUAAAAAGGAAAUAAAAUAAUAAUAGUAUUAUUUUAUUAACUAGAAGAUGUAGUCGAGAAAAAGGCAUGGAGUACAAGAGAAAAGGUUAAGAAAUGAAAGUGAGAAUGAGAAUAGGGAACAAAUUAAUCCUAUGUAUUAAUUAUGUUGAUUUGGGGUAUGAUCUAUUGUAAUUUUAUAUUAUGAAUUGUUCAAUGUUUAAGUUUUAUUCUAGAGAAUCUAGAAAGUUUUUUUGAGAAUAGAAGAUACAAGUAAGGGUUUAGUCCCUGAUGUGCAUAGUAAUAGAAAAUACUUUGUUAAGGUUGGGGAGCAUGAAGUUAUGAUGGAAUUAAUUCCAAUUUACUGUUAAUGAUUUGAUGAAAAAAUGAUUUGGUUAAUUAACCAUAGAGCAAUGUAGUAAUGCCAGAAGAAGCUAAGUGAACCUUAAUACUGUGAAAUGGUAUAAGGUAGUUUAUGGUGAUAGUAAGUUGUCGAGAUGUUCUCAUUGGUUGAGGUUGAUGAUAUAAACUAGAAAGGCUGUUAAGAAAUAAAUGUGAAGAUUAUUAAGGUUACCUUAUGAAUAUCCAAAGUAUGAAAACAGUAAUAGGUUAGAAAACCAUAAUAAAAGAAAUUAUGAGUGUUUUGUUCGGAUAAAAUACUAGGAUCAAUGAUUUCUUUAAUCUGUUGAAAGGAGUGGAGUAUUUUUUUUAGGAUAAAUUUGAGGAUCGAGUAUUAUCAGUUAAAAAUGAGUAAAGAAAAUGUUCUGAGGAUAUCACUAUGAACUUAUUAUGAUUAUUAUUAGUCUUGGUGAAGUCGUUCAGGUUGAGGAAUGCGUUAGUAGCAUUUAUAGAUUUAUUGAAUAGAGAAUUCAAGCUAUAUUGGACAAAUUGCUAAUAAUAUGUAUAGGUGAUAUCUUGGUCUAAUCUAAGACACAUGAAUAUCAAAAGGAACACUUAGGAAUUGUGUGGAAAGUAUUAAGGAAAGAGAAUCAAUAUACAAAGUUCAUAAAGUGUGGAUUAGGUAUGGAAUUAGAAGGUUCAAAGGUUGUUGAACAUUUGAUCAAGAAGUAUGGAAUUAGAAGUAAGAUGUUCAAAAGAGUCGGAUGAGGAGUUAUAUAGGGGAGAAUUGUCUAGCUAAACUACGUAGAAUGAAGAAGGCACAAUCUCAAAGAUGAGAAGUGUAGUCAGAUAAGGCAAAGAAUUGCCAAAGGUAAAGAGAAGUAUGUUUAUACUUAAUAAUGAAAAAGUGUUACGAUUUGAAGGAUUAAUUUGAUUUCCAAUAGUAUUGGAGCUAAAAUAAGAAGUCACAGGAUGUGUUAGUAAGUGUUCGACUUGACAGAGACUUGAGGCUAAAUGAUGAGGAUUAGAUGAUUUGUUAAAAAAAUCCAGGAUAGAAAUGGGAGUAUAUCAUUAGAAAUUUUGUGAAAGAAUUUCCAGUUAUGUAAAGGGAGUUCAUUGUUUUAUGAAGUAUAGUGAUCAUUUAAUGAAGUUGAUAUAAUUAAUACCAGUGAUGUAGUUAAACUUCAUGUCAAAUGGAAUUAGAAUAAUUAGUUAAACUUUAUGCUAAAAAAAAUUGUUUCAAGACAUGGAGUGUCAGUUUUGAAUGUGUUGGAUUAGAUCCGCAUUUCACGUCAAACUUUCGAGGGAGUUUACAAGAGAAAAUGGUAUCAUCCUCAAACAGAAGAGUAGAGCAAGCAGACAUGCGUGAUGCCUUAUGAAACGUUAUACAAUAGAAGAUGCAUAAUUUGUUCACGUGUCGUUAUUACGACCCUAUGAGCAAUAUUGUAAGUAUGUAAUUGAGUAGGAACCUAUCCAGGUUAAAAAGGGCUUAACAUAUGGAUAAAUUCCUAGGGAAGAGCAAAUUUUAAGAAAUAAAAUUAUAUCUUCUGUGAAGUAGUAUGGAGGAACCACAAUUAUAAGAAUAGAUCAUGAUCGUAGAAUAUCUUUGUAAUAAGAUAAUUAAUAUUUAUUAAAUAAAAUAAAUAUUUUAAUGGAAUAAAUUGUGUAUUAUGAGUUUUUAGGUUGAUUAAUGACCUAGUUUAUGUGUUACAUGACUAAAUAUGAGUGUUUAAAAUUUGUGGAAGAAAAUAAAUUUUUUCGAGAAAAACGCAAAAUCACUAUUCAUAAAUCGUAGGAAACAUUUUUUUUUUCAUUUUUUGAACUUUUCGAAUUACGGCAUAGCGUUUAUUUGGAAAAUGGAGACGAAAUCUCCAAUAACAAUAUUUUUAUCAGAAAAGACGUAAAAUCACUUUCACGCUAAAAACACAACUUCAUUUUUUAUGAAUUUUCGAAGAGUAACAUAGCGUUUAUUGGGGAAAGAUGGAACACUAGCGAAAUUAGAUUAUCGAAAAUCGAAAGUCGAUUUUUCGGCUAACCGAGCAUGUUACGAAAACGUAACCGAAAAAGUUAGAAAAAUCUAACUAGAAAGAAAUCGGGUAACCGACUUAAUUCGGGAAGUAAACCCUAAUCAAUUGUACGAAAAGGGCAAAAAGGACAUUUUGCUGACCAUAUGAAUUAUGAAAGUUAACUAAAAAGAAAAUACGAAAUUAAAUUAACUUUGGUCUAGCCAAGCCAAGGGUUUCAAUGGCUUGGCUAGAAAAGGAAAGGGGCUUGGCUAGGUUAGGGAGGCUUAAGCCUUGAAGCCAUGACUUGAAGACUUAAGCCAAUUAUUGCAAGACGUGGAGCCAAAGUGUAAGACAAACUUGGAGCCAUAGACUUGGGAGGGCAUGUGUCAUUUGUGAGAAAUUAAGCACAUUGGACAAGAGAGGAUAUAAAGGCUAUGAGUCACGAGCUAGGACGUACAAGUGUGUCUUGAAAAUUAAUUAGGAUGUGGUUAAUUGAAUGUGAAAAAGCUAAAAGGAGAAGGAAGGAAGAGGAGGGGGCUGGGCAUGUGAGGAAAGGAGAUAAGGUUGGAUGGAAAACUUCUAUAAAUGGUAAGUUUUAUCUCUUGCAAGUAUGCUUAAGCAUUAAUUCUUUGGUGGAAAUAUGUCACUUGCUAGGAAAUAAGCAUGUGAGGAAUUGAAAUAAGUGAAAGGGGAAGGAGGGACAUCCGGCCAAUUGAGGAGCAAAGGGGGGAGUAUUGUGCUGACUCACCUAGUAUAAGUGGUAAGGGUAUUAAAUUGUAGCUUAUCUUUUUUUCCAUCUUCAUCCAUAUAUAAUUUCUCAAGUGUCAUUUCUUUAUUCCUUAAUCCAUCAUGAGUUAUAUAGUCGAAUCCUAGAGUAUGGUUAGGUUAGUUGGUGGGAGAUGAGAUGAUUUAAUUCUCUACACUUAGCCAUUUCAUUCAUUUCAUUUCUUAAGUCUAGAGAGAAAAGAGAGAGCAAGAGAAAGAGAAGCAAAAGAGUUUAGUGAGAUAGAGAGAGUAGUCGAAUAGAAGAAGAAGAAGAUGGAGUAAGCUUUUCUCAAUCUUUAGCUAGCUAAGAAGGAAAAGAGGAGCAUCAAAGGUAAGAAAUCCUAGAAACUCAUCUUUUUCAUUUUAUUUCUUUUAAAAGCUUUGUAGCAUGAUAUGAAAUGCUUUGUUGUUCAAUGCUUUAGUUUGAUAAUUAUCAUUGAAGGAUCUUGGAGAGAUAAGGCCGCUUGUGGUUUAGAUAUGUUAAAUCACUUGUUAAUAUGUAUAAAAAGUGAAAAUGAAACCUAAAAUCACAAGCCUAAGCGUAAAUAAUGGAAAACAACAUAGAGGACUUUAAUAUUGGACUUAUAAAUGUUUUUUUUGUUUAUUGUUUGUGAAAUUUGACAAGAAGGAUUUUUAAAUAAGGAAGUUAUGGAGAAGUUCCAAGUGGAAUGGAGGAAAAAUACGUUAUCACGAAGUUAUGGCUAAUUUUUUCGUAAAAGGUGUCAAAUGUGAAAAAUCCUAGCUUGGUACCCUUUGUGGGCCAAAUGUAUGGGUAGUUAACGCUUCCGUGAAAUUAUUUCUUUCUGGGAUAAAUGUAGUUGGGUGAAAACGUGAAUCGUGGACUCAAGAACGAGCUCAAUCCGACUUCGGAUGAGUAAGUUACGAAGUUUAGAAAAUUGGACGUUAAAGCGUCAUUUCAGUAUAAAACUGGCUCAUGAGGGAGUUUUGAGCCGAUUUCCUGAAAAUUUAAAGAAUUGUGAAAAAAUAAAUUGUCCUGGGGGAUUUGAAGAAUUUGUUACAAGAAAGAAAUAGACACAAGAACGAUCUUAUUCCGAUAUCGAACUAGCAAGUUAUGAUGUUUCAAAGUAGACGCAUUGAAAAUUUUCAAAACUGAAAAUUUGAAAAAAUCAAACAUUUUGGCCGAACAACUCCCUGCCUCCCAGAGGCUAGAGCUCUUGUCUAGGCUUAUUUGAAGCGCCUAGAGCUCUAGCCACUUUUUAGGCCAAAAGUCAGCCUGGACAUGCUUCACUAAAUCAAGAAUAACUUUUUCAUAUGAACUCCGAUUGAAGUUAUUCAAGAUGAUUCGAAGAGAUAAGGAGUAGAACUAGAACUUUCAUUCUUUAAGUGUUGAUAAUUGAGGUCGGGAACAAUUUCCAAAUUGGGCAUUUGUAGGGCUGUUGUGCAAUAGGUGGCAAACCAUGGUAGUUUCUUUGAACUAUUGUGGUGUCGAGCCAUGUUUGACUAGCAUUUUCGAGUUCUAAACAUUGAACAUUGAGAAUAUAAUUUAGAGAAAGGUAAACCAAGGAAUGGUAGAUGUAUUGGAUGUAUUAAUUAUACUCAAUGGCGUGUCGGUUAAGCGUUCGAUGUAGAAAAGUCAGGUGCACGACGUACGAAUGUCGAAACACCGAGUCGAAUAUUAAUGAACUUAAAUAAUGCUCAGAGUUUAAUGAAACUAGCUUUAUAAAACAUGGAAUAGGAUUAUAGUAAACCUUGCGUGACAUUUAUACGUGACUAAUUGGUAUGUCUAUGUGCACUAAAUGUGCAGGACUUUUAAAGGGCGAUUAACGUCAAGGUAUAGAAGACGCUUGAGGCAAGUUUCCUAAACUUACUUCAACUUUAUUGAGCAAGUAUUCUAACUCCAUUCAAAUUUUGUUUGAAUGUCAGUUUUUGAGUAUAUAUUCUUAUGAAUAAUUCUUAUGUACGCUUCGGUUUACACAAUAUUUAUCGAUUUUGCAACCUUCAAACUUGUACAAACUCUCGAUUAAUUGUUUAAGUGUUUAGCUAUGCUAUAAUGCAUAAAUUGUUUCACGAUUUGCUAUAAUGCAUAAAUUGUUCAAGUUUUGUAAUAACAUAAACUGUUCAAGUUUUAAAGUUCUUAUACUCAUGAAUUGUUUAAGUGUUAUGUCAAUGACAAUUGUAUUGGUUAUAUACAUGUUAAAAUAUUUUAUUGAUUUGAAUACCAUUCUUUGACAUGUUAUUUGGAUUAGGUAGAGCUGUCCACCCAGAUUGUUUUGGGGUUCGGACUCCAGCCUGAGAUGAACAACCCUAAUAUUGGGGGUUUUUUUACGUCAAAAAAAUCCCGACAAACCCUUGAGGUGGUCACACAAACACAUAUAGUCGUUUAGCCAAAGUGUUAUACAACAUAGGGUACACUGGGCUGAUCACCUAACGUGCCCGUAAGCCAGAUCAGUUCAUAGUUGAAUUUCUGUUGAACCCUUGAGAGAACAAAAAUGUGCGAGGUCUUUUGACCGUUCAGUAUUUCGUUUCAAAAAUGUUAGAUAAAAAAGGAAUUUAUUAUUUUUAUUCCUAUUUAUUCGGAAUGUUUUCACAAUUAUUAUUCAAUUGUUGAAAUAGUAGCGUGAUUCUAAAUUUUGUUGUUUAUUCAAUUGUUUAUACUUGCUGAACUUUAUAGCUCACCCUUACUUUAAAUUAAAUAUUUUUCAGCGAAGCUAGAGCAGAUUGAAGGUUUCGGUAAGGACAAAGGGAAAGAAAAGGUGGACGAGUAGAAGAUAGCUGUAAAUAUUUGUAAUAAUUAGUAGUAUUGUAAUAAAUACUUAAUACUUUAUCAUGUGUUGAAGACUUAAAUGUUUGAGAACCUGGGAUUUAGAGUGAGACAUAUUAUAAUAAUUAGAAGUUGCAUUUAUGCCAUUCUGUUAGAUGAGAAGUACCAUUGAACAUUAUAUUCACAGUUUAAAGGUACUCAGAUUUGGGGCAUCACAAGCAGCGCUGCAUAGCAGCCACGCGCAUGCACAACGCGUCACACGUCGCCCGCACGCUGCCUAAUCGCUCUUAUUUCUAGCUUUGGUGAUCUCAACGCCCUUACUUUGGCACUUCUUAACUAGGUUGUAUGAACUCAGAAUUAGUCCGUUCUUGAGGCUAUAAUUGGUUGGGAUUGCACUUUACAAAACCCCACAAUAUCAUAAUUUUUUGGAAACUCUAAAUAGUCAAAACAGUGGUCCAAAAGUCCCCUCUUGCGCUGAUUUGUAGUUUGGCAGUUUUGAUGCGCCUACUUCUGAACGUCAUAACUCAUUCGUCCAACAUCGAAAUGG
RNAcentral lists this long non-coding RNA (20148 nucleotides) under Panax ginseng (ginseng). RNAcentral's name for it is "long non-coding RNA (PGIN_LNC012860)". Lineage: Eukaryota; Viridiplantae; Streptophyta; Magnoliopsida; Apiales; Araliaceae. The record is from RNAcentral.